GUUUCUGAGCUAGCUCAGUCAGUAGAGCACAAGAUUCUUAAUCUCAGGGUUAUGGGUUUGAACUCCACACUGGACA
Podarcis lilfordi (Lilford's wall lizard) is the source of this 76-nucleotide non-coding RNA. Lineage: Eukaryota; Metazoa; Chordata; Lepidosauria; Squamata; Lacertidae. The record is from the annotation of a GenBank genome assembly.